RNAcentral lists this ribosomal RNA (883 nucleotides) under uncultured Xerocomus. Its description in RNAcentral is "eukaryotic LSU rRNA". The stretch from base 560 to 883 matches the Rfam family "Eukaryotic large subunit ribosomal RNA", at positions 1 to 316 of the family's 3401-position model. Lineage: Eukaryota; Fungi; Basidiomycota; Agaricomycetes; Boletales; Boletaceae. The record is from RNAcentral.
GUGCACGUCCCCUCACCUUUUCUAUCUACACACACCUGUGCACCUAUUGUAGAUCCCUCUCGAAAGAGAGGGAACUAUGUUUUCAUCACAUCACACACAACGUAUGUCUAGAAUGUAAAAAACAAUAUAUACAACUUUCAGCAACGGAUCUCUUGGCUCUCGCAUCGAUGAAGAACGCAGCGAAUUGCGAUAAGUAAUGUGAAUUGCAGAUUUCCAGUGAAUCAUCGAAUCUUUGAACGCACCUUGCGCUCCUUGGUAUUCCGAGGAGCAUGCCUGUUUGAGUGUCAUCGAAUUCUCAACCAUUCUCUCUUUUCUGGGAGUAUGGCUUGGACUUGGGGGUUGCUGGCAGCACUGUCAGCUCUCCUUAAAUGUAUUAGCAAUCGAGUUGGCUAGUCUUUUGACGUACACGGCCUCGGACGUGAUAAUGAUCGUCGUGGCUGGAGCGUCUUUCCUAGACUAUGUACAUAGAUCGCUUCUAAUCUGUUGUCUAUCGAGCUUAGCUACUAGGCAGUCUUUUUGGCUGGCGAACGCAAGCGAGACAUUCACAUUCUCAGAGACUUGACCUCAAAUCAGGUAGGACUACCCGCUGAACUUAAGCAUAUCAAUAAGCGGAGGAAAAGAAACUAACAAGGAUUCCCCUAGUAACUGCGAGUGAAGAGGGAAAAGCUCAAAUUUUGAAUCUGGCGGUCAUUUCGGCCGUCCGAGUUGUAAUCUAGAGAAGCGUCUUCCGCGCUGGACCGUGUACAAGUCUCCUGGAAGGGAGCGUCAUAGAGGGUGAGAAUCCCGUCUUUGACACGGACUACCAGUGCUAUGUGAUGCGCUCUCGACGAGUCGAGUUGUUUGGGAAUGCAGCUCAAAAUGGGUGGUAAAUUCCAUCUAAAGC